Sus scrofa (pig) is the source of this 8441-nucleotide non-coding RNA. Lineage: Eukaryota; Metazoa; Chordata; Mammalia; Artiodactyla; Suidae. The record is from RefSeq and is a predicted model, not a curated record.
CUCAGGAGGCUGAGGGAAAUGUCCUUGUGUCCUUCUGAGACGAGCCUCUCUUGGCAGCAGGGCGCCAGGCUAUGGAGGCCUGAUUGAAACCAGGUCUGAUGCGUUCAGGACGCUUGAUUGGUCUCGUCAAGCCAGCUCUCCGGGGAGUUGGCACGUGGCUGCCAAGCUUCAGAGGCUCUCCUGGUCCCUGCUGUGGCUGGGGCAAGAGCUGCACUGGGCGAUCCCCCUCUGGCUAGACCACAUCUCCGUGUGGCACAGGGCACCCAAAUCCACGGACAAGGAAGAAGAGGCAUUGAAAUGAAUGAGCUGAAUGGAUUCAGAAAGGAGGGAAGGUCCAUCUCUCUUUCUCUCCCUCGUUCUCUCACUCUUUCUCUCAUUCUCCCUCACUCUCUCUCUCUCUCUCUCCUCUCUCUCUCUCUCUCUCUCUCUCCACACACACCCACACGCACACGCAUGCAGAUAGAGUAGGAAACAAGAGCUAGGACCUGGAGAGACAAAUCCAUCCUAAGUCUCUCCUGAGCCUAAGUCUCUCCUUGGGUGGGAGUGGGUUGGAAGGGCCAGCCUGGGGAGGCCCAGCCUGGGAGUGGAUGCUUUGGCCGAGCAGAGUGGAUGUGCAUGCCACACACGGGUGCAGGAGAAUACCUGGGGAAGUCACUCCACUCCAAACGAAGCAUGUCUUUAUCCUCAUCCCUUCCUCCCCGCCAGGGAAUUCGGUCGGGUCCGAUGGGCUAGGCUAGGCCAUCUGGACGGAAUCCACGGAAUCCUUCGGCCCAUCGCUUUUCCCGAGGGGCAGCACUCUCGACCGUGACACCUUCUCUGGGGAGCGCUGUGUCGCUCCUGUGUUGGGGUGGAGUGUUCAGGACUCCUUUUGGCUGGUCGCUGAUCGAAGUGGAUCCAUUGCAGUUUCCCAACCAAGGGAUCCCAUCGGCCAUGUCUAUGCAUCCUGUUUGGCUCCCCUUCUCCUCCCUUGGGUUCCAAGAAGAGGGACUAGACCUCGUAGCGUCUGCUCCAUGGAAGGAGGGCUCUGGCACCCCCCGCAAGGGCAAGGGUUUGGAUCUCGGACCUCCCCAAUUCCAGGCAUGCCCACAGCCUCGCCCUCCCAUUUGGCAAGCACCAUCUGGAGGGCAGUGCAGGGGUUUCUUUCCUGGACGACAGUUCCUGGGUGUCCCUGGUGAGAUGGGCGAGGGAAGGGGUUUCCCAUGGGCUGUGUGUCUCCCUCCCAGACCUCUUUCCUUUCGUGUGAGCAUUUCUCUUCGCAACGCUGUGGCUGCCCAUGGCCCCUUUUGCUGCACAGGUUGAUUGCCGAGUCCGCUUCUGUUGGGGAGAAGGACCGCUGCUGGCUCAGCCAAGCCUCUGUCCAUGGACAUCGAAUGGCUUUCCAUGUGUUGCUCUUGGGAAGAGGGCUUCCUGAACCGAGUGGGGCGUUUCCGGCUGAGAAGAGACCCUUUGUCUGGGUAUAUGGCCGUGAGGGGUAGUGCUGGGUCUGGCGGUGGUUGCAGGGUUCUUUUGGGGGUGCCGUGGAUCCUGUGGCCCAUCGUGGUGGAACAAACGGUCGCACACGCCCACCCGGUGUGAGGGCACCUUCUUUUCCACAGCCUGCCCUGGGGUUGUCAUUGAAAGGCGUCCUCAGGAUGGCCAUGGGGACAGGGCUGAGGAGGGCACUCGACCUGGUUGGGGUGUGGACUUCUCUAGGCAUGCGUGAUGGUGUUCCUUUGUGUGGUGCUGGAUGCCGGCUGGCCACCUGGAUUUGGCAGGGUUUCUUCAGGCCCCCUCCCCACCUGUGGCCUGGGUGGGUGGGUUUCUGCUGUCGUUCGUGGGUUCCGUGCUGGAGCUGAUCGGUGUGGAAGCCCAGCGUGGCCUGGGUUUUGGGAUGAGCAUCAGGGGGCUGUGAGGGGUGCCCGGGUGGUGCCCAAAGGGAGAGCGAAUUGGGAGAGCAGCAGUGCCAGGCGCUGGGCGUUGUCUCUCAAGAGGGCUCAGGCACCUCCCUUGUUCUUUCCAAGGGAGGCUCGUCUCUUCUUUCUAUGCACCUGGUGAGAUGACGGGAGCUCGAGCCAGGCCGGGCAUCUGCAGGCCGCUCUCUUGACGGAUCCACCAAAGCUGUGCCUGAGCGUCCUUCUGGCCCCCUGGGGAGAAGGGCUGAUUGGGUUGGUUUUGUGUGGUUGGGAACCUCUGUGCCUUGGGAAGCACCAGUGGGCAUCCAGAUCAGGUGCAGUCCAGGUGGGGUCAAGAGAGUUUGAAAACAAAGGGAGAAAGGGAGACCUGGCAAGAUGAACCAAGGCAGAAGGAAAGAAUCGAGGCAAGACUUAAAGGCAAGGAGUAUGGAAUCCCAGGGGGAUCCUGAAGGGGGAAAACGACUCGUUCCAUCCUUCCACACCUCUCUUCCUAUCUCCAUAUGGGCAAGGCUCUAUCCACACGGCAGCAGGCUGGCACAGCCUGAUGGAUUUGGAGCGAAGGCUUUCCACGGCGAGGCACGGCCUAGGUUGGCAUCGGCACGAAGAAGGCCUUUGAGAGAGGGAGCGAGAGCCCAGGUGGAAGGGCCCUUCUUGGCGGGGGAUGGAGCCCCCACCCUCGUCUGGGCCCCAGCCCCAGCCCCAGCAGCCCCGGGGACUGCUGAGCCCGAGAGAGAAGGAGAGGCUGAGAGGGGCUGUUCGAGCCUAUGUCCACACGAGGGCGCCAGAGCCCCUUCCGGUCCCAGGGGCAGCUCAGAGGCUCUAAGUGGUGGGAGGGGCAAGGCUCCAAAGGCGCAGGCUCCACGUCGGGGGCGGAUGGAGGCUUGAGCGGGACGCACCCACAGCAGGCCCCCAGAGGACGUGCGGGUGUUUCCUGGGCAGCAGGGACUCUCUCCUGCGAGACACCUCCUGUCAGCUGGAGGGCGGAGGUGUCCCUUCCGGAUUUGGAGGGAAUUCGGUCGGGUCCGAUGGGCUAGGCUAGGCCAUCUGGACGGAAUCCACGGAAUCCUUCGGCCCAUCGCUUUUCCCGAGGGGCAGCACUCUCGACCGUGACACCUUCUCUGGGGAGCGCUGUGUCGCUCCUGUGUUGGGGUGGAGUGUUCAGGACUCCUUUUGGCUGGUCGCUGAUCGAAGUGGAUCCAUUGCAGUUUCCCAACCAAGGGAUCCCAUCGGCCAUGUCUAUGCAUCCUGUUUGGCUCCCCUUCUCCUCCCUUGGGUUCCAAGAAGAGGGACUAGACCUCGUAGCGUCUGCUCCAUGGAAGGAGGGCUCUGGCACCCCCCGCAAGGGCAAGGGUUUGGAUCUCGGACCUCCCCAAUUCCAGGCAUGCCCACAGCCUCGCCCUCCCAUUUGGCAAGCACCAUCUGGAGGGCAGUGCAGGGGUUUCUUUCCUGGACGACAGUUCCUGGGUGUCCCUGGUGAGAUGGGCGAGGGAAGGGGUUUCCCAUGGGCUGUGUGUCUCCCUCCCAGACCUCUUUCCUUUCGUGUGAGCAUUUCUCUUCGCAACGCUGUGGCUGCCCAUGGCCCCUUUUGCUGCACAGGUUGAUUGCCGAGUCCGCUUCUGUUGGGGAGAAGGACCGCUGCUGGCUCAGCCAAGCCUCUGUCCAUGGACAUCGAAUGGCUUUCCAUGUGUUGCUCUUGGGAAGAGGGCUUCCUGAACCGAGUGGGGCGUUUCCGGCUGAGAAGAGACCCUUUGUCUGGGUAUAUGGCCGUGAGGGGUAGUGCUGGGUCUGGCGGUGGUUGCAGGGUUCUUUUGGGGGUGCCGUGGAUCCUGUGGCCCAUCGUGGUGGAACAAACGGUCGCACACGCCCACCCGGUGUGAGGGCACCUUCUUUUCCACAGCCUGCCCUGGGGUUGUCAUUGAAAGGCGUCCUCAGGAUGGCCAUGGGGACAGGGCUGAGGAGGGCACUCGACCUGGUUGGGGUGUGGACUUCUCUAGGCAUGCGUGAUGGUGUUCCUUUGUGUGGUGCUGGAUGCCGGCUGGCCACCUGGAUUUGGCAGGGUUUCUUCAGGCCCCCUCCCCACCUGUGGCCUGGGUGGGUGGGUUUCUGCUGUCGUUCGUGGGUUCCGUGCUGGAGCUGAUCGGUGUGGAAGCCCAGCGUGGCCUGGGUUUUGGGAUGAGCAUCAGGGGGCUGUGAGGGGUGCCCGGGUGGUGCCCAAAGGGAGAGCGAAUUGGGAGAGCAGCAGUGCCAGGCGCUGGGCGUUGUCUCUCAAGAGGGCUCAGGCACCUCCCUUGUUCUUUCCAAGGGAGGCUCGUCUCUUCUUUCUAUGCACCUGGUGAGAUGACGGGAGCUCGAGCCAGGCCGGGCAUCUGCAGGCCGCUCUCUUGACGGAUCCACCAAAGCUGUGCCUGAGCGUCCUUCUGGCCCCCUGGGGAGAAGGGCUGAUUGGGUUGGUUUUGUGUGGUUGGGAACCUCUGUGCCUUGGGAAGCACCAGUGGGGAUCCCAGAUCAGGCGCAGUCCAGGUGGGGUCAAGAGAGUUUGAAAACAAAGGGAGAAAGGGAGACCUGGCAAGAUGAACCAAGGCAGAAGGAAAGAAUCGAGGCAAGACUUAAAGGCAAGGAGUAUGGAAUCCCAGGGGGAUCCUGAAGGGGGAAAACGACUCGUUCCAUCCUUCCACACCUCUCUUCCUAUCUCCAUAUGGGCAAGGCUCUAUCCACACGGCAGCAGGCUGGCACAGCCUGAUGGAUUUGGAGCGAAGGCUUUCCACGGCGAGGCACGGCCUAGGUUGGCAUCGGCACGAAGAAGGCCUUUGAGAGAGGGAGCGAGAGCCCAGGUGGAAGGGCCCUUCUUGGCGGGGGAUGGAGCCCCCACCCUCGUCUGGGCCCCAGCCCCAGCCCCAGCAGCCCCGGGGACUGCUGAGCCCGAGAGAGAAGGAGAGGCUGAGAGGGGCUGUUCGAGCCUAUGUCCACACGAGGGCGCCAGAGCCCCUUCCGGUCCCAGGGGCAGCUCAGAGGCUCUAAGUGGUGGGAGGGGCAAGGCUCCAAAGGCGCAGGCUCCACGUCGGGGGCGGAUGGAGGCUUGAGCGGGACGCACCCACAGCAGGCCCCCAGAGGACGUGCGGGUGUUUCCUGGGCAGCAGGGACUCUCUCCUGCGAGACACCUCCUGUCAGCUGGAGGGCGGAGGUGUCCCUUCCGGAUUUGGAGGGAAUUCGGUCGGGUCCGAUGGGCUAGGCUAGGCCAUCUGGACGGAAUCCACGGAAUCCUUCGGCCCAUCGCUUUUCCCGAGGGGCAGCACUCUCGACCGUGACACCUUCUCUGGGGAGCGCUGUGUCGCUCCUGUGUUGGGGUGGAGUGUUCAGGACUCCUUUUGGCUGGUCGCUGAUCGAAGUGGAUCCAUUGCAGUUUCCCAACCAAGGGAUCCCAUCGGCCAUGUCUAUGCAUCCUGUUUGGCUCCCCUUCUCCUCCCUUGGGUUCCAAGAAGAGGGACUAGACCUCGUAGCGUCUGCUCCAUGGAAGGAGGGCUCUGGCACCCCCCGCAAGGGCAAGGGUUUGGAUCUCGGACCUCCCCAAUUCCAGGCAUGCCCACAGCCUCGCCCUCCCAUUUGGCAAGCACCAUCUGGAGGGCAGUGCAGGGGUUUCUUUCCUGGACGACAGUUCCUGGGUGUCCCUGGUGAGAUGGGCGAGGGAAGGGGUUUCCCAUGGGCUGUGUGUCUCCCUCCCAGACCUCUUUCCUUUCGUGUGAGCAUUUCUCUUCGCAACGCUGUGGCUGCCCAUGGCCCCUUUUGCUGCACAGGUUGAUUGCCGAGUCCGCUUCUGUUGGGGAGAAGGACCGCUGCUGGCUCAGCCAAGCCUCUGUCCAUGGACAUCGAAUGGCUUUCCAUGUGUUGCUCUUGGGAAGAGGGCUUCCUGAACCGAGUGGGGCGUUUCCGGCUGAGAAGAGACCCUUUGUCUGGGUAUAUGGCCGUGAGGGGUAGUGCUGGGUCUGGCGGUGGUUGCAGGGUUCUUUUGGGGGUGCCGUGGAUCCUGUGGCCCAUCGUGGUGGAACAAACGGUCGCACACGCCCACCCGGUGUGAGGGCACCUUCUUUUCCACAGCCUGCCCUGGGGUUGUCAUUGAAAGGCGUCCUCAGGAUGGCCAUGGGGACAGGGCUGAGGAGGGCACUCGACCUGGUUGGGGUGUGGACUUCUCUAGGCAUGCGUGAUGGUGUUCCUUUGUGUGGUGCUGGAUGCCGGCUGGCCACCUGGAUUUGGCAGGGUUUCUUCAGGCCCCCUCCCCACCUGUGGCCUGGGUGGGUGGGUUUCUGCUGUCGUUCGUGGGUUCCGUGCUGGAGCUGAUCGGUGUGGAAGCCCAGCGUGGCCUGGGUUUUGGGAUGAGCAUCAGGGGGCUGUGAGGGGUGCCCGGGUGGUGCCCAAAGGGAGAGCGAAUUGGGAGAGCAGCAGUGCCAGGCGCUGGGCGUUGUCUCUCAAGAGGGCUCAGGCACCUCCCUUGUUCUUUCCAAGGGAGGCUCGUCUCUUCUUUCUAUGCACCUGGUGAGAUGACGGGAGCUCGAGCCAGGCCGGGCAUCUGCAGGCCGCUCUCUUGACGGAUCCACCAAAGCUGUGCCUGAGCGUCCUUCUGGCCCCCUGGGGAGAAGGGCUGAUUGGGUUGGUUUUGUGUGGUUGGGAACCUCUGUGCCUUGGGAAGCACCAGUGGGCAUCCAGAUCAGGUGCAGUCCAGGUGGGGUCAAGAGAGUUUGAAAACAAAGGGAGAAAGGGAGACCUGGCAAGAUGAACCAAGCCAGAAGGAAAGAAUCGAGGCAAGACUUAAAGGCAAGGAGUAUGGAAUCCCAGGGGGAUCCUGAAGGGGGAAAACGACUCGUUCCAUCCUUCCACACCUCUCUUCCUAUCUCCAUAUGGGCAAGGCUCUAUCCACACGGCAGCAGGCUGGCACAGCCUGAUGGAUUUGGAGCGAAGGCUUUCCACGGCGAGGCACGGCCUAGGUUGGCAUCGGCACGAAGAAGGCCUUUGAGAGAGGGAGCGAGAGCCCAGGUGGAAGGGCCCUUCUUGGCGGGGGAUGGAGCCCCCACCCUCGUCUGGGCCCCAGCCCCAGCCCCAGCAGCCCCGGGGACUGCUGAGCCCGAGAGAGAAGGAGAGGCUGAGAGGGGCUGUUCGAGCCUAUGUCCACACGAGGGCGCCAGAGCCCCUUCCGGUCCCAGGGGCAGCUCAGAGGCUCUAAGUGGUGGGAGGGGCAAGGCUCCAAAGGCGCAGGCUCCACGUCGGGGGCGGAUGGAGGCUUGAGCGGGACGCACCCACAGCAGGCCCCCAGAGGACGUGCGGGUGUUUCCUGGGCAGCAGGGACUCUCUCCUGCGAGACACCUCCUGUCAGCUGGAGGGCGGAGGUGUCCCUUCCGGAUUUGGAGGGAAUUCGGUCGGGUCCGAUGGGCUAGGCUAGGCCAUCUGGACGGAAUCCACGGAAUCCUUCGGCCCAUCGCUUUUCCCGAGGGGCAGCACUCUCGACCGUGACACCUUCUCUGGGGAGCGCUGUGUCGCUCCUGUGUUGGGGUGGAGUGUUCAGGACUCCUUUUGGCUGGUCGCUGAUCGAAGUGGAUCCAUUGCAGUUUCCCAACCAAGGGAUCCCAUCGGCCAUGUCUAUGCAUCCUGUUUGGCUCCCCUUCUCCUCCCUUGGGUUCCAAGAAGAGGGACUAGACCUCGUAGCGUCUGCUCCAUGGAAGGAGGGCUCUGGCACCCCCCGCAAGGGCAAGGGUUUGGAUCUCGGACCUCCCCAAUUCCAGGCAUGCCCACAGCCUCGCCCUCCCAUUUGGCAAGCACCAUCUGGAGGGCAGUGCAGGGGUUUCUUUCCUGGACGACAGUUCCUGGGUGUCCCUGGUGAGAUGGGCGAGGGAAGGGGUUUCCCAUGGGCUGUGUGUCUCCCUCCCAGACCUCUUUCCUUUCGUGUGAGCAUUUCUCUUCGCAACGCUGUGGCUGCCCAUGGCCCCUUUUGCUGCACAGGUUGAUUGCCGAGUCCGCUUCUGUUGGGGAGAAGGACCGCUGCUGGCUCAGCCAAGCCUCUGUCCAUGGACAUCGAAUGGCUUUCCAUGUGUUGCUCUUGGGAAGAGGGCUUCCUGAACCGAGUGGGGCGUUUCCGGCUGAGAAGAGACCCUUUGUCUGGGUAUAUGGCCGUGAGGGGUAGUGCUGGGUCUGGCGGUGGUUGCAGGGUUCUUUUGGGGGUGCCGUGGAUCCUGUGGCCCAUCGUGGUGGAACAAACGGUCGCACACGCCCACCCGGUGUGAGGGCACCUUCUUUUCCACAGCCUGCCCUGGGGUUGUCAUUGAAAGGCGUCCUCAGGAUGGCCAUGGGGACAGGGCUGAGGAGGGCACUCGACCUGGUUGGGGUGUGGACUUCUCUAGGCAUGCGUGAUGGUGUUCCUUUGUGUGGUGCUGGAUGCCGGCUGGCCACCUGGAUUUGGCAGGGUUUCUUCAGGCCCCCUCCCCACCUGUGGCCUGGGUGGGUGGGUUUCUGCUGUCGUUCGUGGGUUCCGUGCUGGAGCUGAUCGGUGUGGAAGCCCAGCGUGGC